This 415-nucleotide ribosomal RNA is filed under the name uncultured bacterium. RNAcentral's name for it is "bacterial SSU rRNA". It matches the Rfam family "Bacterial small subunit ribosomal RNA", at positions 356 to 773 of the family's 1533-position model. The record is from RNAcentral.
GGGGAAUAUUGCACAAUGGGCGCAAGCCUGAUGCAGCGACGCCGCGUGGGGGAUGACGGCCUUCGGGUUGUAAACCUCUUUCACCAUUGACGAAGCUCCCUUUUUGGGGGGUGACGGUAGGUGGAGAAGAAGCACCGGCCAACUACGUGCCAGCAGCCGCGGUAAUACGUAGGGUGCGAGCAUUGUCCGGAAUUACUGGGCGUAAAGAGCUCGUAGGUGGUUUGUCGCGUUGUUCGUGAAAUCCCACGGCUUAACUGUGGGCGUGCGGGCGAUACGGGCAGACUGGAGUACUGCAGGGGAGACUGGAAUUCCUGGUGUAGCGGUGGAAUGCGCAGAUAUCAGGAGGAAUACCGGUGGCGAAGGCGGGUCUCUGGGCAGUAACUGACGCUGAGGAGCGAAAGCGUGGGGAGCGAAC